UACGAAGGGGGCUAGCGUUGCUCGGAAUCACUGGGCGUAAAGCGCACGUAGGCGGCUUUCUAAGUCAGGGGUGAAAUCCUGGAGCUCAACUCCAGAACUGCCUUUGAUACUGGAGAGCUUGAGUCCGGGAGAGGUGAGUGGAACUCCGAGUGUAGAGGUGAAAUUCGUAGAUAUUCGGAAGAACACCAGUGGCGAAGGCGGCUCACUGGCCCGGUACUGACGCUGAUGCGCGAAAGCUAGGGGAGCAAACAGG
Molecule: ribosomal RNA, 253 nt
Filed under: uncultured bacterium
Lineage: Bacteria
Description: partial 16S ribosomal RNA
Rfam family: Bacterial small subunit ribosomal RNA
Source: RNAcentral